CCUACGGGAUGCAGCAGUGAGGAAUAUUGGUCAAUGGCCGUAAGGCUGAACCAGCCAAGUAGCGUGAGGGAAGACUGCCCUAUGGGUUGUAAACCUCUUUUAUGCGGGGAUAAAGGUGUCCACGUGUGGAUGUUUGCAGGUACCGCAUGAAUAAGGACCGGCUAAUUCCGUGCCAGCAGCCGCGGUAAUACGGAAGGUCCGGGCGUUAUCCGGAUUUAUUGGGUUUAAAGGGAGCGUAGGCCGGUCUUUAAGCGUGCCGUGAAAUUUUGUGGCUCAACCAUGGGAGUGCGGCGCGAAAUGGAGACAUUGAGUGCGCGGAAGGCAGGCGGAAUUCGUGGUGUAGCGGUGAAAUGCUUAGAUAUCACGAAGAACCCCGAUUGCGAAGGCAGCCUGCCGCAGCGUUACUGACGCUGAAGCUCGAAAGCGCGGGUAGCGAACAGGAUUAGAUACCCGGGUAGUC
Molecule: ribosomal RNA, 460 nt
Filed under: uncultured bacterium
Lineage: Bacteria
Description: partial 16S ribosomal RNA
Rfam family: Bacterial small subunit ribosomal RNA
Source: RNAcentral